AAGUCGUAACAAGGUUUCCGUAGGUGAACCUGCGGAAGGAUCAUUACUAGAGCAAAGGAUAGACACUACCCUACUUCGGUAGGGUUUAGAGUCGUCGGGCCUCUCGGAGAAGCUCGGUCCUGAACUCCACCCUUGAAUAAAUUACCUUUGUUGCUUUGGCGGGCCGCCUCGUGCCAGCGGCUUCGGCUGUUGAGUGCCCGCCAGAGGAUCAUAACUCUUGUUUUUAGUGAUGUCUGAGUACUAUAUAAUAGUUAAAACUUUCAACAACGGAUCUCUUGGUUCUG
RNAcentral lists this unclassified non-coding RNA (284 nucleotides) under Cadophora sp. RNAcentral describes it as "partial internal transcribed spacer region". The stretch from base 1 to 46 matches the Rfam family "Eukaryotic small subunit ribosomal RNA", at positions 1786 to 1831 of the family's 1831-position model. Lineage: Eukaryota; Fungi; Ascomycota; Leotiomycetes; Helotiales; Ploettnerulaceae. The record is from RNAcentral.